RNAcentral lists this ribosomal RNA (302 nucleotides) under Pseudomonas sp. RNAcentral describes it as "bacterial SSU rRNA". It matches the Rfam family "Bacterial small subunit ribosomal RNA", at positions 130 to 445 of the family's 1533-position model. The record is from RNAcentral. Lineage: Bacteria; Pseudomonadati; Pseudomonadota; Gammaproteobacteria; Pseudomonadales; Pseudomonadaceae.
GGUAGUGGGGGAAAAGUUCGGAAAGGACGCUAAUACCGCAAACUCCUACGGGAGAAAGCAGGGGAACCUUCGGGCCUUGCGCUAUAAAUACCAGGUCGGAUUAGCUAGUUGGUGGGGUAAUGGCUCACCAAGGCGAGAUCCGUAACUGGUCUGAGAGGAUAUCAGUCACACUGGAACUGAGACCGGUCCAGACUCCUACGGGAGGCAGCAGUGGGGAAUAUUGGACAAUGGGCGAAAGCCUGAUCCAGCCAUGCCGCGUGUGUGAAGAAGGUCUUCGGAUUGUAAAGCACUUUAAGUUGGGA